RNAcentral lists this ribosomal RNA (1334 nucleotides) under uncultured bacterium. RNAcentral's name for it is "bacterial SSU rRNA". It matches the Rfam family "Bacterial small subunit ribosomal RNA", at positions 28 to 1381 of the family's 1533-position model. The record is from RNAcentral.
GACGAACGCUGGCGGCGCGCCUAACACAUGCAAGUCGAACGAGCGAGAGAGAGCUUGCUUUCUCUAACGAGUGGCGAACGGGUGAGUAACGCGUGAGGAACCUGCCUCAAAGAGGGGGACAACAGUUGGAAACGACUGCUAAUACCGCAUAAGCCCACAGGUCGGCAUCGACCAGAGGGAAAAGGAGCAAUCCGCUUUGAGAUGGCCUCGCGUCCGAUUAGCUAGUUGGUGAGGUAACGGCCCACCAAGGCGACCAUCGGUAGCCCGGACUGAGAGGUUGAACGGCCACAUUGGGACUGAGACACGGCCCAGACUCCUACGGGAGGCAGCAGUGGGGAAUAUUGCACAAUGGGGGAAACCCUGAUGCAGCGACGCCGCGUGGAGGAAGAAGGUCUUCGAGAUUGUAAACUCCUGUUGUUGGGGAAGAUAAUGACGGUACCCAACAAGGAAGUGACGGCUAACUACGUGCCAGCAGCCGCGGUAAAACGUAGGUCACAAGCGUUGUCCGGAAUUACUGGGUGUAAAGGGAGCGCAGGCGGGAAGACAAGUUGGAAGUGAAAUCUAUGGGCUCAACUCAUAAACUGCUUUCAAAACUGUUUUUCUUGAGUAGUGCAGAGGUAGGCGGAAUUCCCGGUGUAGCGGUGGAAUGCGUAGAUAUCGGGAGGAACACCAGUGGCGAAGGCGGCCUACUGGGCACCAACUGACGCUGAGGCUCGAAAGUGUGGGUAGCAAACAGGAUUAGAUACCCUGGUAGUCCACACCGUAAACGAUGAUUACUAGGUGUUGGAGGAUUGACCCCUUCAGUGCCGCAGUUAACACAAUAAGUAAUCCACCUGGGGAGUACGACCGCAAGGUUGAAACUCAAAGGAAUUGACGGGGGCCCGCACAGGCAGUGGAGUAUGUGGUUUAAUUCGACGCAACGCGAAGAACCUUACCAAGUCUUGACAUCCCUUGACGAUGCUGGAAACAGUAUUUCUCUUCGGAGCAAGGAGACAGGUGGUGCAUGGUUGUCGUCAGCUCGUGUCGUGAGAUGUUGGGUUAAGUCCCGCAACGAGCGCAACCCUUAUGGUCAGUUACUACGCAAGAGGACUCUGGCCAGACUGCCGUUGACAAAACGGAGGAAGGUGGGGAUGACGUCAAAUCAUCAUGCCCUUUAUGACUUGGGCUACACACGUACUACAAUGGCGUUAAACAAAGAGAAGCAAGACCGCGAGGUGGAGCAAAACUCAGAAACAACGUCCCAGUUCGGACUGCAGGCUGCAACUCGCCUGCACGAAGUCGGAAUUGCUAGUAAUCGUGGAUCAGCAUGCCACGGUGAAUACGUUCCCGGGCCU